RNAcentral lists this ribosomal RNA (402 nucleotides) under bacterium. RNAcentral's name for it is "partial 16S ribosomal RNA". It matches the Rfam family "Bacterial small subunit ribosomal RNA", at positions 355 to 776 of the family's 1533-position model. The record is from RNAcentral.
UGGGGAAUUUUGCACAAUGGGGGAAACCCUGAUGCAGCGACGCCGCGUGAUUUAGAAGGCCUUCGGGUUGUAAAAAUCUUUUCUAUGGGAAGAAAAUGACAGUACCAUAGGAAUAAGGACCGGCGAAUUACGUGCCAGCAGCCGCGGUAAUACGUAAGGUCCGAGCGUUGUCCGGAAUCAUUGGGCGUAAAGGGUACGUAGGCGGGUAAGCAAGUUAGAAGUGAAAUCCUAUAGCUCAACUAUAGUAAGCUUUUAAAACUGCUCAUCUUGAGGUAUGGAAGGGAAAGUGGAAUUCCUAGUGUAGCGGUGAAAUGCGCCGUUAUUAGGAGGAAUACCGGUUGCGAUGACGACUUUCUGUCCAUAACCUAACGCUGAGGUACGUAAGCGUGGGUAGCAAACAGG